AGUCAUAACACAUGCAAGUCGAGCGGCAGCGACAUCAACAAUCCUUCGGGUGCGUUGAUGGGCGGCGAGCGGCGGACGGGUGAGUAAUGCCUGGGAAUAUGCCCUGAUGUGGGGGAUAACCAUUGGAAACGAUGGCUAAUACCGCAUAAUCUCUUCGGAGCAAAGAGGGGGACCUUCGGGCCUCUCGCGUCAGGAUUAGCCCAGGUGAGAUUAGCUUGUUGGUGAGGUAAGAGCUCACCAAGGCGACGAUCUCUAGCUGGUCUGAGAGGAUGAUCAGCCACACUGGAACUGAGACACGGUCCAGACUCCUACGGGAGGCAGCAGUGGGGAAUAUUGCACAAUGGGGGAAACCCUGAUGCAGCCAUGCCGCGUGUGUGAAGAAGGCCUUCGGGUUGUAAAGCACUUUCAGUUGUGAGGAAGGCGUAUGCGUUAAUAGCGCAUGUGUUUGACGUUAGCAACAGAAGAAGCACCGGCUAACUCCGUGCCAGCAGCCGCGGUAAUACGGAGGGUGCGAGCGUUAAUCGGAAUUACUGGGCGUAAAGCGCAUGCAGGCGGCUUGUUAAGCCAGAUGUGAAAGCCCGGGGCUCAACCUCGGAAUAGCAUUUGGAACUGGCAGGCUAGAGUCUUGUAGAGGGGGGUAGAAUUUCAGGUGUAGCGGUGAAAUGCGUAGAGAUCUGAAGGAAUACCGGUGGCGAAGGCGGCCCCCUGGACAAAGACUGACGCUCAGAUGCGUAAGCGUG
This 740-nucleotide ribosomal RNA is filed under the name Photobacterium sp. J725. Its description in RNAcentral is "bacterial SSU rRNA". It matches the Rfam family "Bacterial small subunit ribosomal RNA", at positions 44 to 763 of the family's 1533-position model. Lineage: Bacteria; Pseudomonadati; Pseudomonadota; Gammaproteobacteria; Vibrionales; Vibrionaceae. The record is from RNAcentral.